Molecule: ribosomal RNA, 252 nt
Filed under: uncultured bacterium
Lineage: Bacteria
Description: partial 16S ribosomal RNA
Rfam family: Bacterial small subunit ribosomal RNA
Source: RNAcentral
UACGUAGGGAGCGAGCGUUGUCCGGAUUUACUGGGUGUAAAGGGUGCGUAGGCGGCUAUGCAGUCAGUAGUGAAAUCCAUGGGCUUAACCCAUGAACUGCUAUUGAAACUGCACAGCUUGAGUGAAGUAGAGGUAGGCGGAAUUCCCGGUGUAGCGGUGAAAUGCGUAGAGAUCGGGAGGAACACCAGUGGCGAAGGCGGCCUACUGGGCUUUAACUGACGCUGAGGCACGAAAGCGUGGGUAGCAAACAGG